RNAcentral lists this long non-coding RNA (1032 nucleotides) under Betta splendens (Siamese fighting fish). Its description in RNAcentral is "lncRNA (ENSBSLG00000022359.1)". The record is from RNAcentral. Lineage: Eukaryota; Metazoa; Chordata; Actinopteri; Anabantiformes; Osphronemidae.
AUGACUUCUCAAGAGAAUCAGUCAAGGAGAAGACAAAAGAAAACCUCACCCGCCUCCCUGGAGCUUUACACCUUGGAGAUGUAUGGGAGCGUCUUUGUUGUCGAGGUUGAGGUCAAAUGUCUUAAUCGGAACAUGAGCCUCAGAUCCGUCAUCAGAGCUGGGCGUUCCCGGCGACACCCACGCCUGCAGUGACACCGGCUUCCUGUCGCUCUCUAAGUGCUGCAAAUGAAAAAUGGAAGGCGUCCACGCAGAGCUAAACAAACGGAGCUGGCGUUGGAGAGAGAAAGCACCAGUCAGCACAAAGCACAGUGAGUCCUGUCAGGUCACUGCAGAUGCGUGUUUGACAGAUAAAAGGUCAACGCGACCGAGCUCCUGCUCGAGAUGAGUGACUCCAACAAGCGCAGGUCGCACUCAGUGAAAAAGUGAGCGUGUCGCAGGAAAAGAGAUAAAAACGGGGACAAGGACGGAGGAGGAGCCCUUGUGUUCACAUUCAAACAACACCGAAUCCAUCUCAACGCCAGACUCGCGCCUUCAACCGAUUAGCUCCUCUCAGAUAGUGAUGACAAACUGUGUGCGCUGCCAUAAAGUCUCUCAUUUAAUGUGAAUGAUUAGGCCCAGAGCAUCUUUAAGGGGAAGUGAGGAGGGUCUGUGACGUGGAGGCAGGAUGCACCUUCCCCCAAAUGCUUCAAACCAACCAGAGGGACAGAUCACUAUCACUUCAACUGUCUCCAAAUGACAGAUGCUAUCUGCAGCCGGGGCGACAUAAUUGAAAGAAAAAAAAAAGAUAAAUCUGGAGUUGGCAAAAGCAAAGCCUUCCCUUCAGUUAUCCAUUUUCCAUCAGAAGCGUUUGUUGUUGUUUUUCCUCCUUAAGAUAAAAGGACUGUGAAGCUGUCGAUUUGACCCCUGGAGGCAGUUAUUGUGUGGAAAAUGACUCAGCAUCUUAAUAACAUAACACAGCGCUAAGUGAAACCAGUAUAUUUAUAUGUUUGUCCAUGAAUACAAUAAUAAAGAAACUAAUGCCACUUAGCUUCA